GUGCCAGCCGCCGCGGUAAGACGAGGGAUCCUAGCGUUGUUCGGAAUCAUUGGGCGUAAAGCGGAUGUAGGUGGCUUUGUAAGUCGGGUGUGAAAGCCCAGGGCUCAACCCUGGAAGUGCAUUCGAUACUGCGAAGCUUGAGUGCUAGAGAGGUUACUAGAAUACCUGGUGUAGUGGUGAAAUACGUAGAUAUCAGGUGGAAUACCGGAGGCGAAGGCGGGUAACCAGCUAGACACUGACACUCAGAUCCGAAAGUGUGGGGAUCAAACAGGAUUAGAUACCCUGGUAGUCC
Molecule: ribosomal RNA, 292 nt
Filed under: uncultured bacterium
Lineage: Bacteria
Description: partial 16S ribosomal RNA
Rfam family: Bacterial small subunit ribosomal RNA
Source: RNAcentral